This 215-nucleotide ribosomal RNA is filed under the name Bacillus sp. I_1. Its description in RNAcentral is "partial 16S ribosomal RNA". It matches the Rfam family "Bacterial small subunit ribosomal RNA", at positions 108 to 311 of the family's 1533-position model. The record is from RNAcentral. Lineage: Bacteria; Bacillati; Bacillota; Bacilli; Caryophanales; Bacillaceae.
GAGUAACACGUGGGUAACCUGCCUUCCUCCAAUAGAAAAUAACUCCGGGAAACCGGGGCUAAUACCGGAUAACUCAUUUCCUCGCAUGAGGAAAUGUUCCCAGGUGGCUUUUACCAACCACUUACAAAUGGACCCGCGGCCCUUUACCUAGUGGGUGAGGUACCGGCCCACCAAGGCACCAAUGCGUACCCAACCUGAAAGGGUGAUCGGCCACC